AUCAUGCGUGGUGGAUUACUUUCAUUCUAUUCUAUUCCUAAGAAAUGAAAGGAAAACAAACAAUGAAAUGAAAAUUAAAUUGCAAGACAUGAAGUAAACAUUCAAAGAAAAAAACAGUAAACCUAAUCAUGCAAUCCUAGAGAAUAUAUAAAAAGAAAACAAUCGAGAAAGAAAAGAAACCCGCAACUCGUCGGGUUUUAUACAAUGCAAGGAACCGACACACAUGUCAAGAAAACAAAUAGUACAUGACAAUGGUCGGAAUGGACAUCGACCUCCACCAUCUUCACGCCUUACACCUUCUCCAUCUUCGGGGUCCUAAUCUAAACCUAGCUUAGGAAACUUCUAGCUAAAUGCAUACAAUGGAAAGAGACGAGCAAACGCAUCAAAACAAUCAAAAGCAAGACAUUUUUUAUAUUUAAAAAAAGUGACUAAAGUCACAAGGUCUCUGGAUCAAAUUCUAGGUGAUAUCCCAAAUAAAUCUCAUAGAGACACUAUCAUCAUAUCAACACAUGAAUUUCUAAAAUCUAAAAAAAACAAGUCAAUCCAGAAUAGAGCAUAGUAACN
RNAcentral lists this long non-coding RNA (564 nucleotides) under Eucalyptus grandis. RNAcentral's name for it is "long non-coding RNA (EGRA_LNC005550)". Lineage: Eukaryota; Viridiplantae; Streptophyta; Magnoliopsida; Myrtales; Myrtaceae. The record is from RNAcentral.